UAGGAGGAAGGCUGAAGCUUGAGGUGAUC
RNAcentral lists this non-coding RNA (29 nucleotides) under Mus musculus (house mouse). Lineage: Eukaryota; Metazoa; Chordata; Mammalia; Rodentia; Muridae. The record is from RNAcentral.